Molecule: long non-coding RNA, 304 nt
Filed under: Mytilus galloprovincialis (Mediterranean mussel)
Lineage: Eukaryota; Metazoa; Mollusca; Bivalvia; Mytilida; Mytilidae
Source: RNAcentral
GUCCGAUUCAUCUAAAAAUUUCAGAGCAGAUAAAUGUUGACCUGAUAAACAAUUUUACCCCAUGUCAGAUUUGCUCUAAAUGCUUUGGGUUUUGAAGUAUAAGCCAAAAACUGCAUUUUACCCCAUGUUCUAUUUUUAGCCAUGGUGGCCAUCUUGGUUGGAUGGCCGGGUCACCGGACACAUUUUUCAAACUACUAACCGAAAAGAUGAUUGUGGCCUAGUUUGGAUUAAUUUGGCCAAGUAGUUUCAGAGGAGAAGAUUUUUGUAAAAGAUAACUAAGAUUUACGAAAAAUGGUUAAAUAUU